CCUACGGGAGGCAGCAGUGGGGAAUAUUGCGCAAUGGGGGAAACCCUGACGCAGCAACGCCGCGUGAGUGAGGAAGUAUCUCGGUAUGUAAAGCUCUAUCAGCAGGGAAGAAGAAAUGACGGUACCUGAGUAAGAAGCACCGGCUAAAUACGUGCCAGCAGCCGCGGUAAUACGUAUGGUGCAAGCGUUAUCCGGAUUUACUGGGGGUAAAGGGAGCGCAGGCGGCACGGCAAGCCUGAUGUGAAAGCCCGCGGCCCAACCGCGGGACUGCAUUGGGAACUACCGGGCUGGAGUGCCGGAGAGGUAGGCGGAAUUCCUAGUGUAGCGGUGAAAUGCGUAGAUAUUAGGAGGAACACCAGUGGCGAAGGCGGCCUACUGGACGGUGACUGACGCUGAGGCUCGAAAGCGUGGGGAGCAAACAGGAUUAGAUACCCCAGUAGUC
RNAcentral lists this ribosomal RNA (442 nucleotides) under uncultured bacterium. Its description in RNAcentral is "partial 16S ribosomal RNA". It matches the Rfam family "Bacterial small subunit ribosomal RNA", at positions 338 to 795 of the family's 1533-position model. The record is from RNAcentral.